ACUUCUGUAGCGGAUAGAUUUUGGACGAACUCCUACGACGCAUGGGCUCCAGCAGUCGAACCCCUCCAGCAGGUGAACCUCUCUAGCACCAUCCGACAUCCACUGUCGGUCGACCUUCUGUCGGAUUCUGCAUGAAACUGAACUUCGUCCAUAGAAAGCCCCUGACUGAGCUUCUACAGCAGAUGACCUUCGCCUGCAGUACUAACGUCCAAGGCACCCAACGGUAGAAAGCUCACCAACAACAUCCGAGCUCCUC
RNAcentral lists this long non-coding RNA (256 nucleotides) under Elaeis guineensis (African oil palm). RNAcentral's name for it is "long non-coding RNA (EGUI_LNC053983)". The record is from RNAcentral. Lineage: Eukaryota; Viridiplantae; Streptophyta; Magnoliopsida; Arecales; Arecaceae.